This 16-nucleotide small RNA is filed under the name Arabidopsis thaliana (thale cress). The record is from RNAcentral. Lineage: Eukaryota; Viridiplantae; Streptophyta; Magnoliopsida; Brassicales; Brassicaceae.
GUAUGGAAAGACGCCU